RNAcentral lists this long non-coding RNA (1500 nucleotides) under Brachypodium distachyon (stiff brome). Its description in RNAcentral is "long non-coding RNA (BDIS_LNC005783)". Lineage: Eukaryota; Viridiplantae; Streptophyta; Magnoliopsida; Poales; Poaceae. The record is from RNAcentral.
AAAAUACAAUUCAUGAAUAUUUAGUGGUCAUCUGGACUUUUUUAAAAUUUAUGGAUGUUUACAGGGCGACCAUGUGUGUGCCUCCUUUUGUGCGAAGCUAAUGGUGCCACCUUGGGGUUUUGGUUUAUCCUAAAUAGUAGACAGAAUUAGAAAUGCUUGGCUAUGCACAUUUUAGGAUGCUCUCCAAGGCCUUGUCCUACAGGUAGAAUGGAGACCGGGAGACUCGCAUUUUUUGGACGGCCUAAUGAAGUCAAAGCGUCAUUUCUUUCGCUUUGGUUGCUUCCACAUCAAGAGCGGCUCUUAGAUUAGGUUUUGGGAGGGCAGAUGGCUGAAAUCUUUCUCUUAGAAGGCAAUCCAGGCCUCUUUCACAUUGUGUGCAACAAACAUGAUACGAUUGCAGAAGUUUUAAGCUUCCUUCUGAUGACUCCUUCAGGAGAGAUCUGGGCGGCCCCAAAUUGGAGAUGUGGAAUGCUCUUUUGCAGCGCCUAGGUAGCAUUAACCUUACACGAGAACACAACACUUCACUGAAACCUCCACCACAAUAGUUUUCUUUUCUAUGAAAUCGAUUUAUGAGGCUAUUGUGCAUUGCAAUGUGCCAUUUUGAAGAGUCGGCUGUGGAAACUCAGGAGUUUGAUAAAAAAAAAAAAGAUCCCUGUCUCUAUUAAAAAAAAUUAAAGGUCAUGCUUACAAAAUAUAACCUUAAAAGGCAAAAUUGGGGGAUAUCUCCAAUAUGUUUACAAAAUAUAACCUUAAAAGGCAAAAUUGGGGGAUAUCUCCAAGUUCAUGAUCCAUCUACGUAAGGUGGACCAUUUGUGCAUUCUUUUGGUUCCAUCGCUCAUUUGAAACAAGAAUUUUGGUCUCACAAAGUGUGGCUUACGGAUUCUCCAUCAUUAUCCUUUAUCGUGGACCAUUUGUGCCAGGUGGGUCGCUUGUGGAUGUGCCGCCAGCUCUAUUCUCCGAGCUGUCCGGUAGGGCGUCUAGAAUUCGGUGGCUCGGGCCUUGGACCAGAACAGUUGGCUUCGUGUGAUCCAUCCUUAGCUUUUCCAUAAGGCCCUCGUGGAACUUUUGCCGGUCGUCGAUUUCGUCAGUAGAAUGAAUCUUUAGAAGGAGGAUGGCCACUUUAGGUGGAAGUGGAGGAGCACUGGUCAAUACACUGCCUCCUCGGCCUAUGCUGUUUUUUUUUUCAAGGCCGCGAGCAUAGAGAGGGCGCCUCUGAAGUUUGAUGCUCAAGGGCACCAAGUUAAUGCAAAUUUUUCAUGUGGCUAGCUCUCAGAAACAAAUGUUGGACGAUGGAUAGACUUAUGAAGCGUGGUUUGCCAUAUCCGCCAUGUUGCCCGCUAUGCAAUCAGAACCAGAGAACCAUCGAUCAUCUGCUCCUUGGCUGCAUCGUUGCUAGACAGGUAUGGACCAUCUCGCUUCAUUGUUGGGACAAGCUAGGAUGGAUGCCUUCACCUCAUGAUUCGUUGGCAAGCUGGUGGAUUAGGUUGGAUGUCCGAGGCA